Molecule: long non-coding RNA, 578 nt
Organism: Zingiber officinale
Lineage: Eukaryota; Viridiplantae; Streptophyta; Magnoliopsida; Zingiberales; Zingiberaceae
Exons: 2
Source: RefSeq, a predicted model, not a curated record
UUGCUUGUAUAUAAUAGCCAAGUUGUUGAAGGGCACAGAUAUCCCUGUUGUAACUGCUAAAAUUGCCUUAUAGAAUGAUGCAGCAACACUCAUCAUAUUACUGCAUGAAGAGAAGUUUCAUUAAGGAACAAAAAUAAACUAUCCGCACAGUUGUCAUCAAACAUUUCUAAAGCUUACCAAUCCAUGUAUAUAUAUGUUGCCAAGGCUUGACAAUGCUUGUGGAUGGUUAGGUUGUAAAGCAAAGCAUGACUUGGGAAAAAUUAUUAAAAUGAAGUUAUUCAACAAGGAAAAAAACAACUUGUUAUUAUCUCCCUGAUUUCAGGAUCAUAUGAUUCCAGUUUCAGAACUAAAAUUCUUUCAAAUCCGUAACAUUCUGAACGGUUGGGUUUUUUCUGCAGUUGGGCCCUGUACUUCAAAAGACGGUAGAAUCUUUUCGUCUCCUCCCUCCUACGGAAAAUUAUGUUCCCCCAUUUAAGGACCCUUGGAGGUUUUGGUGACGACUACAAUGUUUUGGAAUGAGCACUGCAUCAUCUACUGGGGAUCUUUAACUAUGCUUUAUUUCUGAAGCAGCUACAUCA